CAAAGAGCCAUGAAUUUAGCUUUAUCACUUGAUUUCACCUCUUGACACUAUUUACAGCUGUUUUCUGUUUGUACAUGCUGCCUUUUCCAGUACCACGCUGAGUAUUGUUAUCCCGAUAGUUCUUUCGUCUCAGUCCGUGUGUAUUCCUGGGCGAAUGUGCUCGUGUGGUCUCAGGAGUUGCGGAGGUCACGGCUCUGGGACAGCCGUUUCAUCGCCCUAUGCUGCAGGUAAAAAGCAAUGAAAGUGCCGUUAAUUUUUUGCACGGCGAGCUGCUGCAUACUAACCGGUCUCACACCAUUACCAACACCUUGCCCUUGUGAAGGCAGAUAUGGAUAAGGUUCUCAAAGCUGAUAGAAGAUUGAAACCACUCUAAUCCUGUGACGAUGAACCUGCCCCGGAAGAGAGAGCCCAAAGAAUUGCCAAAGCUGUCCGCAAACAGUCAAUAGAAGUGAAGGAAAAUUGGGAACAACUGAAAAUCCGUGCGAGCAACUGGCAGAAACAGGUGGAAAAGGCGUUGGAGAAACUUCAAGAACUGCAGAAAGUUCUGGAUGAUCUUGAGGCUCAUGUGAUAACAGCUGAGGGGGUCCACACUGAUUGGCAACCUGUGAGUGACCUGCUUAUUGACUCAUUGCAGGAUCACUUUGAUAAAACCACAGGUCAGGACUAUCUUCAAAAUCUGAGAUUGGGUUUUGAAAGACAGCAGCCUUUGUUUUGGAGAGAUAAUGGGAACUGCAGAUGCUGGAGAAUGCGAGAUAACAACGUGUGGAGCUGGAUGAAGACAGCAGGCCAAGCAGCAUCUGAGCAGCUUUCCUGGAGCAAGUCUGUUUUCCUUCGGAUGAGACGACUUUCAGACAUACUCCCUUUAUUAUGAGAUUUAAUUGCGGUAAAAUGAGGAGGAUUUUUAUUCACUGAGACACACAUGACUAUAUGUUGAAAGCAUUGGAAAAAGCGUUCUGUUCGGACUGUCAUGUUAUCUGGUGUUUGUACCAGGCUUUCCGAUGAAAUGCAAGUGAUUAAGGAUGCUACUGAUGCCACAUGUUAUUACAAGAGGAAAUGAACAUACAAGUAAGGAUUUUAUGCCACAUUUAUACAUAGCAUGGGCCAUGCAGCGUGGAUGCAGUG
Molecule: RNA transcript, 1122 nt
Organism: Stegostoma tigrinum
Lineage: Eukaryota; Metazoa; Chordata; Chondrichthyes; Orectolobiformes; Stegostomatidae
Exons: 5
Source: RefSeq, a predicted model, not a curated record